CUGCCAAGUCCCAAUCGUGGUAAAACUCUAAAGCCACGUAGCGAGAAGCCGGAGUAUAACUGGAAACGGAUAUGCUUUAAGCGGCUUGACAAAGUAAUCAAUCCUCCGACAAAAUCGGAGAGAAAGGAUGCGACGCAAAAGACCGGGUUGUAAUGUAA
Molecule: non-coding RNA, 158 nt
Organism: Ignavibacteria bacterium
Lineage: Bacteria; Pseudomonadati; Ignavibacteriota; Ignavibacteria
Source: Rfam